UGUAUGGUUCUUAGAUCGUACCCACGUUACUUGGAUAACUGUGGUAAUUCUAGAGCUAAUACAUGCCGACAGAGUUCCGACCAACUGUACAGAUGUGCGUCGGCCUCGGUCGUCGUCGCUGUACGGUUCGGAAGGAACGCUUUUAUUAGAUCAAAACCGGCCAGACGGUGGUUUCGCGUUCGCGCGCGUCUCCAUUCGUAAGCGGCCCGCGCAAAGACUUGGUGACUCUGAAUAACUUCGAGCUGAUCGCACGGUCCUAGUACCGGCGACGUAUCUUUCAAAUGUCUGCCUUAUCAACUGUCGACGGUAGGUUCGACGCCUACCGUGGUGGUAACGGGUAACGGGGAAUCAGGGUUCGAUUCCGGAGAGGGAGCCUGAGAAACGGCUACCACAUCCAAGGAAGGCAGCAGGCGCGCAAAUUACCCACUCCCAGCUCGGGGAGGUAGUGACGAAAAAUAACGAUACGGGACUCAUUCGAGGCCCCGUAAUCGGUGGAUUUACUUUAAA
RNAcentral lists this ribosomal RNA (507 nucleotides) under Phenacoccus madeirensis (Mexican mealybug). RNAcentral describes it as "bacterial SSU rRNA". It matches the Rfam family "Eukaryotic small subunit ribosomal RNA", at positions 110 to 529 of the family's 1831-position model. The record is from RNAcentral. Lineage: Eukaryota; Metazoa; Arthropoda; Insecta; Hemiptera; Pseudococcidae.